Molecule: ribosomal RNA, 253 nt
Filed under: uncultured bacterium
Lineage: Bacteria
Description: partial 16S ribosomal RNA
Rfam family: Bacterial small subunit ribosomal RNA
Source: RNAcentral
UAUGGGGGGAGCAAGCGUUGUUCGGAUUUACUGGGCGUAAAGGGCGCGUAGGCGGUAGCACAAGUCAGUUGUGAAAUCUCCGGGCUUAACUCGGAAAGGUCAACUGAUACUGUGCGACUAGAGUGCAGAAGGGGCAACUGGAAUUCUCGGUGUAGCGGUGAAAUGCGUAGAUAUCGAGAGGAACACCUGCGGCGAAGGCGGGUUGCUGGGCUGACACUGACGCUGAGGCGCGAAAGCCAGGGGAGCGAACGGG